Molecule: long non-coding RNA, 964 nt
Organism: Sinocyclocheilus anshuiensis
Lineage: Eukaryota; Metazoa; Chordata; Actinopteri; Cypriniformes; Cyprinidae
Exons: 3
Source: RefSeq, a predicted model, not a curated record
GUUAAAGCACAGGACGUCAAGGGUUCACCAUUUGUGCUAAAUGUGAAAAGGAAGUUCAGAUGUCACCGUGGCAUAUUCCAUUGUUGUUCCUUCUGCUCCAGCGGGGGCACUAAAGAGGCACGCUGUGGCUGCACAGGAACUAUGCCAGGAGGGUUUCAGGGUUGUGGACAUGGUCAUACAGGACACCCCGGUAAGCCCCACUGGUCAUGUUGUGGGAGUGUAGUGGAGGCCUCAGAGUGUAUUCUACAUAACCUGGGCAGCGUUUCUCCUCGUGGACACCUCAGGACUGUGGAGCUCUGAGACAAACAGCAAAUAUACACUCUAUCUGAUCAACAUAACCAUAAACUCAUGCACAUACUUGAAUCUUCUCAACCAGCCUAAUUCACAAUGAAAAAUCAGAUUGUGCUUUUCAUGUUGCCCUUAUUCAUACAGACUUUAAGCCUUAAUUUGUGUGAUAAAUAUUUUUUGUUGUUUCAGCAGUGCUAAUAUUCAGAAUCAUGGCAGUCUCAUAAACUGCAGUAGGCAAAGUAUAUUUAAAAUUGUGUUGUCUAUUGUGCAUCGUGCCAACACUAAAUACUUAAGUACUGUCAGUAUUGUAAAAAUGUAACUAUUUUCUCUACACAUUUUAAUGUCUGGCAUUUUGUAGUUCCGUAUUUUAUCAUAAUCAGCAUGUUUCCUUUGAUAUUACCCAGCUAUAUGACCAAUGAGGUAUGUGUUAUUAUAAUGCUUUAUUUUAUAUGCUCCAAAAGCUGCCUUUGUAAUUGUAUGCAUCUAUUACAUUUCAGUUGUUUUUGUAUACACUGCAUCAGUGCCACAGAUUAAACAACACUUACCUCUCCACUUGUGUGGUAACUAAACUGGCACUUUUAAGAUUAUCAUUUUGAUUGUUAAUGUAAUAUGUUUUGCAUAGUGUAUACUCCAUGUAGUGUGGUCUAUAAAACAUGCAUAUAAGACAUAUUUUAAU